UACGUAGGGGGCAAGCGUUAUCCGGAUUUACUGGGUGUAAAGGGAGCGUAGACGGCCAGACAAGUCAGAAGUGAAAGCCCAGGGCUCAACCCUGGGACUGCUUUUGAAACUGCCGGGCUGGAGUGCAGGAGAGGUAGGUGGAAUUCUUGGUGUAGGGGUAAAAUCCGUAGAGAUCAAGAGGAAUACUCAUUGCGAAGGCGACCUGCUAGAACAUAACUGACGCUGAUGCGCGAAAGCGUGGGGAGCAAACAGG
This 253-nucleotide ribosomal RNA is filed under the name uncultured Lachnospiraceae bacterium. RNAcentral describes it as "partial 16S ribosomal RNA". It matches the Rfam family "Bacterial small subunit ribosomal RNA", at positions 524 to 776 of the family's 1533-position model. The record is from RNAcentral. Lineage: Bacteria; Bacillati; Bacillota; Clostridia; Lachnospirales; Lachnospiraceae.